This 31-nucleotide non-coding RNA is filed under the name Rattus norvegicus (Norway rat). The record is from RNAcentral. Lineage: Eukaryota; Metazoa; Chordata; Mammalia; Rodentia; Muridae.
UGGAAGGUGAUACUUACUUUAAAGUAUUGAC